UGGGGAAUUUUGGACAAUGGGGGAAACCCUGAUCCAGCCAUCCCGCGUGUGCGAUGAAGGCCUUCGUGUUGUAAAGCACUUUUGGCAGGAAAUAAACGUCAUGGGUUAAUACCCCGUGAAACUGACGGUACCUGCAGAAUAAGCACCGGCUAACUACGUGCCAGCAGCCGCGGUAAUACGUAGGGUGCAAGCGUUAAUCGGAAUUACUUGGCAUAAAGCGUGCGCAGGCGGUUCGGAAAGAAAGAUGUGAAAUCCCAGAGCACAACUUUGGAACUGCAUUUUUAACUACCGGGCUAGAGUGUGUCAGAGGGAGGUGGAAUUCCGCGUGUAGCAGUGAAAUGCGUAGAUAUGCGGAGGAACACCGAUGGCGAAGGGAGCCUCCUGGGAUAACACUGACGCUCAUGCACGAGGGCGUGGGGAGCAAGCAGG
RNAcentral lists this ribosomal RNA (429 nucleotides) under Acidobacteriota bacterium. Its description in RNAcentral is "Acidobacteria bacterium partial 16S ribosomal RNA". It matches the Rfam family "Bacterial small subunit ribosomal RNA", at positions 355 to 776 of the family's 1533-position model. The record is from RNAcentral. Lineage: Bacteria; Pseudomonadati; Acidobacteriota.